Molecule: ribosomal RNA, 203 nt
Filed under: uncultured bacterium
Lineage: Bacteria
Description: partial 16S ribosomal RNA
Rfam family: Bacterial small subunit ribosomal RNA
Source: RNAcentral
UGUGUAGGCGGUUUUCUAAGUUUGGUGUGAAAUCUCCCGGCUCAACCGGGAGGGUGCGCCGAAAACUGGGAGACUAGAGUGCGGGAUGGGAGAGUAGAAUUCCUGGUGUAGCGGUGAAAUGCGUAGAUAUCAGGAGGAAUACCGGUGGUGUAGACGGCUCUCUGGACCGCCACUGACGCUGAGACACGAAAGCGUGGGUGAAC